CGGCAGUGUCUUCACGACUAUGGUGGCCGCUGGUGGGGUCGGUCUCCGGUACUACGGUAGCCGAGUUGACUCUGGUAGCGUCGGUGUAGCUGGGAGCCGGGAGGGUAGCAUUAUGGACUAGCGAUGGCUGAUGAAACGAUACCAAUCAACCUGGAGGAGUGGAAAUACAGCUGAUGGCCUCUCUGUUGACUGUUUAUUUAUGUAAACAUGCAAAUCGAAUAUGAUAAGCAGUAAUACAUAAGGGUAAUAAUUAGGAGGAUUUGGGAUGGGAAAGCGGUGAUCGGCUCACUUGAUGUGUCGAUUCAGUUUUCAGUUAUUCCGAGCAGGAGUCUUCGUUGUUAUACUAGUUGAAUUUUGUAGUGAAAAGAAUAAACGAGUCGGGUUAUUAAUUUUUCGACUCCAUGUGCCGGAAACACAACAUCAUGGAGAGGCUCUGGGGCCUGCUCCUGAUGGAGGGUCACUGUUUGUUCAUCGGAUUCAAUUUCAAUGAUACUAUUAAUCCGAUUUAUUUUAUUCAUACAAUCUCUUUAUUUAACCCUGAUAUAUAAGACUGUCUUUCUAAAAUAUUUAAAAUGUCUUGCUUGGCAACGUCAUCCAGCCAGGACAGCGAACACUGUUUCUACAAAUCUACAAUUUAAAUUGCAAUGGCCUUUAACCAAAACCAUGAAUUGGUAUCUCAAAUCUAUCUUUUUCUUUGACCUUUACCUCUAUCUGUAUACUGUUUCUAUAAUCAAUAAGAA
This is a long non-coding RNA of Gadus macrocephalus (Pacific cod), 740 nucleotides long. RefSeq lists it as uncharacterized. The transcript is spliced from 2 exons. NCBI's taxonomy places the organism in Eukaryota, Metazoa, Chordata, Actinopteri, Gadiformes, Gadidae. The record is from RefSeq and is a predicted model, not a curated record.